CGGCGUGCCUAACUACAUGCAAGGUACGAACGGAGUUUAUAAAGCGGAAGUUUUCGGGAUGGGAAGCUUGUAAACUUAGGUGGACGGACGGGUGAGUAACGCGUGGGUAACCUGCCUUGUACUGGGGGAUAACACUUAGAAAUAGGUGCUAAUACCGCAUAAUCAUAAGAACUCGCAUGAGAAAUUAUGGAAAACUCCGGUGGUACAAGAUGGACCCGCGUCUGAUUAGUUAGUUGGUGGGGUAAUGGCCUACCCAAGACGACGAUCAGUAGCCGGCCUGAGAGGGUGACCGGCCACAUUGGGACUGAGACACGGCCCAAACUCCUACGGGAGGCAGCAGUGGGGAAUAUUGCACAAUGGGGGGAAACCCUGAAUGCAGCGACGCCGCGUGAGUGAAGAAGUAUUUCGGUACGUAAAGCUCUAUCAGCAGGGAAGAAAAUGACGGUACCUGACUAAGAAGCCCCGGCUAACUACGUGCCAGCAGCCGC
Molecule: ribosomal RNA, 488 nt
Filed under: uncultured bacterium
Lineage: Bacteria
Description: bacterial SSU rRNA
Rfam family: Bacterial small subunit ribosomal RNA
Source: RNAcentral